This 834-nucleotide long non-coding RNA is filed under the name Parus major (Great Tit). Its description in RNAcentral is "lncRNA (ENSPMJG00000009124.1)". Lineage: Eukaryota; Metazoa; Chordata; Aves; Passeriformes; Paridae. The record is from RNAcentral.
AAAAAAGAGGCCCCAGGUCCACUGAUCAUCAGGUGCCUGCAGCAGGAUGGGCUCCAGCUCUGAAUCCCAGAGCUGCCCCUGAGUGAGGAUCAACUCUUCAGAGAGGCACAGGGAGCCCUGCAGCUGCUCCUGCAGCCCCUGGGCACUCCCAGUGUGGAACAGGCUCCUGGAAUGCUGCUGGGAUACAGCCCUGGGGCUCUCUGCCUGCCCAUUUUAACCACUGGAAGUUGCAGGAGAUUCCCAAAAAGGAAUCCAGAAUUCCCAAGAAGGUGGAGGGAACACCCACAGCCCCCAGGAGGAUCUGCCCCGUGCCAGGGACUGGCUCAGCACCUCAGGUACCACACUGACAGAAACACAGCAAACAGGAAGGAUUUGAGGGAAGGAUGAGAGAGAAAGUGGGGGGGAAAAAGUGUUUCUGUCAUCCUUGUUUUAGCACAUCUCCCAUGACUUGAGCCAGAAUCUCUGAAAUCCUGCUCAUCUUCUCAGAGAUGCAAAAUUGGGUUCUGUUUUUGACUCCUCACUGGUAACAGGUUUGGGUUGGAUGUCUGCCUUUCUGAUCUAUUAAAAUUUGGUUUUAUUUAUUUUUAUAUGUAUCAAAAAGCUCAAAAAGAACCGGGAAAAAUGAUGAAACUUUCUGAAAUUCUUUUAAUCAGCAAUUGGAUUUUGUUAAGGUCUGUCUUAACAAGCACAACUAUAAUUUAAAUAACUUCCAAAAUAUUCCUUUUACUACAAAUAUCCCCACUUGUCCAUUUCCACUACAAAACAGGGAUAUUUUUAGUAAUAGGAAAUCAUGUUUGAAAUAAACAUAAAAUAACUUAUUUGCUAAAAUAAGGA